CUUGGUCAUUUAGAGGAAGUAAAAGUCGUAACAAGGUUACCUUCUGCAGCGCAGCUCUGGAGACCUUGCACCCCCUUAUGGGAGGCAGCACGACAGUAAACAAAGCUCGCCGCGUGCAAGUUGGCUUAGAUGUCAGCAACACAAUCGAAUUGACGGGGACCUCCUAAAGCCUGCAACACCAACCGUCCGGGGAAACUCGGGCGGGGCCCUCACGGGGGUGGUAAGAGAGUGCAGGAUGCUACAAUGGACGAUCCGCAGCGAAGACCCUACCGGCUAUUAAGCCCACGGGUGCCGUUCACAGACUAAGUGAUUGUGGGCGGGGCUUUCAUGUCCCGUCUAAGGUAUAGUCGGCCUCUAUGUGAAAGCCUAGAGAAGCGCGUCCGUAGGUGAACCUGCGGAAGGAUCAUUAAAGAAUGCCCCCGUUUUUUGAAAUGGGUAAUUCCCAAACCGUGUUUACAUUACCUUUGUUGCUUUGGCAGGCCGCCUUCUAGGCGUCGGCUCCGGCUGACUGCGCCUGCCAGAGGACCCAAACUCGUUUGUUUAGUGUCGUCUGAGUACUUAUAUAAUAGUUAAAACUUUCAACAACGGAUCUCUUGGUUCUGGCAUCGAUGAAGAACGCAGCGAAAUGCGAUAAGUAAUGUGAAUUGCAGAAUUCAGUGAAUCAUCGAAUCUUUGAACGCACAUUGCGCCCCUUGGUAUUCCGAGGGGCAUGCCUGUUCGAGCGUCAUUAUAACCACUCAAGCCCUGGCUUGGUAUUGGGGUUCGCGGUUCCGCGGCCCUUAAAAUCAGUGGCAGUGCCGUCUGGCUCUAAGCGUAGUAAUUCUCUCGCUACAGGGUUUAGGCGGUUGCUUGUCAGAACCCCCCUAUAUUUACAGGUUGACCUCGGAUCAGGUAGGGAUACCCGCUGAACUUAAGCAUAUCAAUAAGCGGAGGAAAAGAAACCAACAGGGGAUUGCCUUAGUAACGGCGAGUGAAGCGGCAACAGCUCAAAUUUGAAAUCUGGCUCUUUCAGGGUCCGAAUUGUAAUUUGUAGAAGAUGCUUUGGGUGUGGCUCCGGUCUAAGUUCCUUGGAACAGGACGUCAUAGAGGGUGAGAAUCCCGUACGUGACUGGGUGCCUUCGCUCGUGUAAAGCUCUUUCGACGAGUCGAGUUGUUUGGGAAUGCAGCUCAAAAUGGGUGGUAAAUUUCAUCUAAAGCUAAAUAUUGGCCAGAGACCGAUAGCGCACAAGUAGAGUGAUCGAAAGAUGAAAAGCACUUUGGAAAGAGAGUUAAACAGUACGUGAAAUUGUUGAAAGGGAAGCGCUUGCAACCAGACUUGCGCGCUGUUGAUCAUCCGAGGUUUUCCCCGGUGCACUCGGCAGCGUUCAGGCCAGCAUCGGUUUUGGUGGGCGGAUAAAGGCCUUGGGAAUGUAGCUUCUUUCGGGGAGUGUUAUAGCCCUCGGUGCAAUGCGCCCUACUAGGACCGAGGACCGCGCUUCGGCUAGGAUGCUGGCGUAAUGGUUGUAAGCGACCCGUCUUGAAACACGGACC
This 1530-nucleotide ribosomal RNA is filed under the name uncultured fungus. RNAcentral's name for it is "eukaryotic LSU rRNA". The stretch from base 878 to 1530 matches the Rfam family "Eukaryotic large subunit ribosomal RNA", at positions 1 to 667 of the family's 3401-position model. The record is from RNAcentral. Lineage: Eukaryota; Fungi.